GAAAUACCACCCUUUAAUGUUUGAUGUUCUAACGUGGACCCGUUACCCGGGUUGCGGACAGUGUCUGGUGGGUAGUUUGACUGGGGCGGUCUCCUCCUAAAGAGUAACGGAGGAGCACGAAGGUUGGCUAAUCCUGGUCGGACAUCAGGAGGUUAGUGCAAUGGCAUAAGCCAGCUUGACUGCGAGCGUGACGGCGCGAGCAGGUGCGAAAGCAGGUCAUAGUGAUCCGGUGGUUCUGAAUGGAAGGGCCAUCGCUCAACGGAUAAAAGGUACUCCGGGGAUAACAGGCUGAUACCGCCCAAGAGUUCAUAUCGACGGCGGUGUUUGGCACCUCGAUGUCGGCUCAUCACAUCCUGGGGCUGAAGUAGGUCCCAAGGGUAUGGCUGUUCGCCAUUUAAAGUGGUACGCGAGCUGGGUUUAGAACGUCGUGAGACAGUUCGGUCCCUAUCUGCCGUGGGCGCUGGAGAACUGAGGGGGGCUGCUCCUAGUACGAGAGGACCGGAGUGGACGCAUCACUGGUGUUCGGGUUGUCAUGCCAAUGGCACUGCCCGGUAGCUAAAUGCGGAAGAGAUAAGUGCUGAAAGCAUCUAAGCACGAAACUUGCCCCGA
Molecule: ribosomal RNA, 609 nt
Filed under: Salmonella enterica
Lineage: Bacteria; Pseudomonadati; Pseudomonadota; Gammaproteobacteria; Enterobacterales; Enterobacteriaceae
Also listed under: 1 other name
Description: partial 23S ribosomal RNA
Rfam family: Bacterial large subunit ribosomal RNA
Source: RNAcentral